Long non-coding RNA from Photinus pyralis (common eastern firefly), 338 nucleotides. RefSeq lists it as uncharacterized. Lineage: Eukaryota; Metazoa; Arthropoda; Insecta; Coleoptera; Lampyridae. The transcript is spliced from 3 exons. The record is from RefSeq and is a predicted model, not a curated record.
UGACACAAUUUGAACGGUGAAAAUUGACAUUUGGUGCACUCCUGAGUUUGCGCAUUGCGUGAGCUUACAGAUCCGGUCUCUGAAUUCGCCAUUGUGAUAGUUGUUAUUUCGAUAAGAGCGAAUAAAAUAUCAUAGAGUCUUGUUGCAAUAAAUACUGUGUCAUCAAAUUAUUCCUUAAUGUCGAUGUAAAAGAAUACCCAAAAUUCCUCACUUCGUUAUCUGGCCCUCGAUAUGUAGCUACUUCCAAAUAUUUUCGAGCCGGCCCUGGCUAUUUUUAAAUUUGGCGGCUCCGUUUUGUCUUACUGCGCAAACUCAGUAGUGCACCUGUGCGAAUUCAA